This is a long non-coding RNA of Neoarius graeffei (lesser salmon catfish), 1433 nucleotides long. RefSeq lists it as uncharacterized. The transcript has 4 exons. The record is from RefSeq and is a predicted model, not a curated record. Lineage: Eukaryota; Metazoa; Chordata; Actinopteri; Siluriformes; Ariidae.
AGAGUGAGCUGAUGGAAAGGAGCCGAGGAAAUUCCAGCAGAAACAGUAGAAGAUGCAGGAGCUGAAACAGAUUGGAGAAAAUUAAGUCCCGUGCAGUGGAGGACAGUGAGAUAAUCUUUCCAAAGUUCAGGGGAAACAGCACUUGGAGGUGAUGGAGCUGAUUAAAGCUCUGGAGAAUGCUGACCUGAGGUGAACUGAACAGAUUGUGGAGCAAGUGAUCAGAGGAACUUGCUGAUCUUUGGAGGAGAGCUGCUGAUCUGGAGCAGCUUUCACACCGAUCACAUCCACUUCCUCCAGUGGUAGACUGUAGACUGGACGUGAGCAGAGACUCAGCAAAAAUAAUGGCACAGCAGCUCUUUCUCACCCCUUCAUCACAGAGAAAUACUUUUACAACACACACACAGUCACUGUGUGGGAGAGAGGAAGAGUGUGUUUUCUAUCAUUGAAGAGGAGUCUCACAGACAGCUGUUCCCUUCUUUCCACAUCCCCAACCUCUGUGCCAUAGCCAGGUGAAUCUCAGCACAGAGGAAAAAAACCCCACGACAAAUAAAAAUAAGUCCAACACCUGUUGGCUGUCCAUCACUAGCGAUGAUGACUGCUUUGUUAGGAUGCGCAGAAAUGCAGAUGGUUUGCGAGGCCCGCACCAGAGCACACCAGACUUAUUCUCCUCUCCUAAUGAAGCGCCUUGCACAGUAAGGUAAGACAAACGAUGUCGUGCCCCCAUCAUGUUGUUUCUGUGGACCUCCAGACCUGAUGCCAAGUGGUGCACAAAAGUGCCACAGACCUGACGGGUAUGGAAGUCGCCCUGCAGUGACAACUGACUUGCCGAGUGAUGCCAUCCGUCGGUUAUUUGAGUGGCUCUUCCACAUGCCAUCUGGUCGUGCGCCAUUGACCCUGUUGGGUUCAUCUGCCACACCGCACUGAAAAGCGCCCUGCUGCGGCACCUUAUUGGUCAUGCACUAUUUAACCCACAGCUGGAAACCAGGCAGGUGCGGCCACUCCGGGUCAGAGCCGACCUGGGAGCGCCGGUGAUUAAGGGGUAACUCCUCUUUCCCCAACACUCAAGACCUUCCGGACCUGAGACUCCCCACUGGUUACAGUUUAAAGUCAGACCCGGGACUAAAUCUAACACUAGUUAUAAAGUGUUUGAUCAGCAUGAAGAGUGGAUAAUCCUGUUUUCUCUCUCUCUCACACACACACACACACACACACACACACACACACACACACACACACACAUGCUCUUCACUGACAGGAUUCAAUGUGAUGAGCUGGCUGUAGGAGUGAACCUCAGAUUGCGCUCAGGGUCAGAGCGACUUUGUUUGCUUCAUUUCUGACUGAAGUUCUGCUGUAAUAAGUGAUAAACUCACACAAUCCCUUGAAAACAAUACCAGUGUGUGUGCAUGCAUGUGUGAGUGAGUGUGAGUGUGAGA